This is a long non-coding RNA of Sebastes umbrosus (honeycomb rockfish), 2865 nucleotides long. RefSeq lists it as uncharacterized. The record is from RefSeq and is a predicted model, not a curated record. Lineage: Eukaryota; Metazoa; Chordata; Actinopteri; Perciformes; Sebastidae. The transcript is spliced from 3 exons.
GCUACAACCUAAAAAUCACAAGUUGUGUUAAAGAAAAUAGUGGUGUGAAAACAAAUUAGCGUUAAUGCGUUAUUAUCGCGUUAACUUUGGCAGCCCUAAUAUGAAUAUAUGCAGACAAAAAAUGUGUAACAGAACCACGAUACAGUAAGUGGUCUUUUUCACUUUAUAUACUACGUAACUAGCUCUGAAGUUAGACUUCUGUCGCUACGCAACACGUGACAAACGUCACAUGACAACCGCUUUCUUCCGGUUGACAGGCAGGUCUAUAACACGGUUUGCCCAUGAGACUGGUGCUGACCUGCUAAACAUCAGCCUGUUAGUAUGAUCAUUGUGAGCAUGUUAGCAUGCUGACUUUAGCAUUUAGCUUAGGGUACUGCCAUACAGCCUCACUGAGUUGCUAGCAUGGCUGUAGACUCUUGUCUUGUUAACUCACAUCAGUAUUAAUUGACCGUCUGCUGGAAUUCAAUAAAAAUUACCAGUAAAAGCCUAUGAAAUGAUAUUUCAUAAUAAUGAGCUGAGUGUUUAUUAAGUGAGUCAGAUAUUUAAUUUCACAAUUUUAUGGUUAUAUGUUUUGUCUUUAUUUAUUUAUAUGAUUAUUUCACAAUAUCGUAUUUAUAUUGAACACAUUGGGUCUCCAUAAAAUCAAGCUAUAUUUAAAAAAGAAAAAAAUGGAAUGAAAAGAAAGUCUCUUCUGGAAACAGGCACAACACAUCAUGUCUUCCUACUUUCCUUCAUUACCACUGGAUGUAAAGUCUGUACAGUACAUGUUUGAUGCUGAGCUGUGAACCACUGUGUGUAUUAUACUUAGAGAAAUGGCUUCACAUUGCAGUUUGUUUUUGUAAUGACAUUGUAACUACUAUUACAUUAUUUGUAAUGCAAGAUAAAAUGACACAGGGCUCUGUUUUCUUUUCUUUUUUUUGUCUCUACUCCAAGUUGCCACACUUGCGUCAUGGAACUAAUUGGACUGCUGAAAGAACUGUUAAGUUGUGUUUUGUGUAUUUAUUUACAUAAUUAGGAACAAUUGUACAGUAAUAUGAAAAGGAUUCUACAUCUCUGGAGUUAAUGGAUAUUUUACAAGUUCAUUUUUUGUGAUAUUUGCUGAUUUUGUUUCUCUUCUGCUAACUGAUAAAGAACCAUUAAUUGCUGAAUUGUUGAAUUGAGAAUUUUAUUUAUGCUUUAUGUUAAAGGCUAACUUAGGUAUUUUUUCAACCUGGACCAUAUUUUCCCAUGUUUUUUUUAAAUUGGUCCAACAUUUAGGGGUUAACGCUGUCACCGGCAACCUCUUAACAAGCUGCAAGGGCAAGUGAGCAGCGUCAAUGUAACGUUACGCUCACUAAAAGUGCACUUUGUCUGAUAACAUUAUGGAAAGGACCUUACAGAGAAAUAAAACGUUUUCUUUUCCCGUCUGUUUGUUAUUAUGUCCAAGUCCCGCUCAAGGAGAAGUCUCGUUGUGCAAUUUGAAUAUCCGUAUACUCUGGCUCAAAUAAAUAUGGGCGGCCAUCGCUCAUCUAAAAUCAUUUAGAUUUAUCAUUUAGAAAUUAUCUAAAUAUUCAACCUUGACAUUGAACAUAUUUUAGAUAACGCUAAGCUACGCUUUCUGUAUUUCAACACAACAAACUCUGCCCGGCUGGCACUCGCGUUUCCAACAUGGAUGUAUUCCACUAUUCCACCGUUGUCUUGCGGCAACACGUCACCUCGUGAGAUUUCAGAGCUGGACUUCCCCUUGAGCGAUAGUCAGUUAUAAUAAUAAUAAUAGGAGCCUAUCAUGGCAACAACGAGCACUUUUAGUGGACGCAAAUGACGGUGCUAGCUUGCCCCAAAGGGAUUACGUUGCAGCCUGCGAGCGGCUACCGUUACAUCACUCUGGUUUAAUACUGGACCAAUUUCAGAAAUUAUCAUGCCUAUUAGUCAGUAAGACACAAAAACAUGGGAAAAUAGGGUCCAGGUUGAAAAAUACCGAAGUUACCCUUUAACUAAUGGAUGGAUGUAUUUGUAUAUAAUUUAUUCAAAUUCAAUGGAAUGUUUUUAUGGAUUUUACAUUGUCAACAUCAAGUUUGUUGACUUCUAAAGUCACUUUUAAAUCAUGUUUACACACAUUAUGGAAACAAGUUGUGGGACAGCAGAUUAAAAGUUUUGGCUUUAAAUGGUCAACGGUGUGUUAAGAAAUAUUUGGUGACGUUUUUUUCCAGGACUCAGUAAAGCAAACACUAUCAGGUGCACCUUCAAGGAUAAGCGUCGUGACUUCACUUGUGACCUUCACUAACUGAUUAGCAGCCCAUUUAUUUCAUUUCCCAGCAUGCCAAAGUCAGCAGGUGCUACUUUAGGUCACUGACUUUACAUCAUCGCCUUGAAAAAAAAAAAUCAUCCUAUUACAUGCAAACCUCUAAUUUUCAGUCAUUGAUGUUCACCUUUUAAUUGCUGCUCAUAUUCACAAAAAAUAGUGCACGCCAAACUCAAAUCACAGGUUUGGGUUUGUUUCCAACAGCUUCUGGGAACUACUUGAACAAACACUGAUAGAUUGAGAUCUGAAUGCAGGCAUGCUGAUUAGUUUAUCGCAUGCAUGUACACGUCAGACUGAGAUGUGUUAACGUGAUGUGGGACUAUAAAGCCCAGAACUGUUCGGGACCUCCCAGUCGAAGACCAUCUCUCAUUCACCACAACCAGGAACGCGUCGUUCAUCACCAUGAAGUCAUCUCUUGUCCUCUGUGUUCUCCUCGGCAUCGUCUUCUCUGUCAGGGCUGCAUCAGUGCCUCCUACUGUAGAGGCUGUCACUAAUACAACCCGGCCAACCGUCACGGCUACAACCGUCCCAACUACAGUGACAGGGCUUUACAAUGACACUACUACCACACCGACCACUGUUAC